CUGUCCGUUACAGGGGGAUAAGCGGCGGAAACGCCGUCUAAUACCGCGUGACAACCCGAGGGGGCAUCCCCUUGGGUUCAAAGGAGAGAUCCGGUACCGGCUGGGCAUGCGGCGCAUUAGCUAGUUGGCGGGGCAACGGCCCACCAAGGCGACGAUGCGUAGGGGUUCUGAGAGGAAGGUCCCCCACACUGGAACUGAGACACGGUCCAGACUCCUACGGGAGGCAGCAGUGAGGAAUAUUGGUCAAUGGGCGCAAGCCUGAACCAGCCAAGUCGCGUGAGGGAAGACGGCCCUACGGGUUGUAAACCUCUUUUGCCGGGGAGCAAGCCUGAGCACGUGUGCCCAGGCGGAGAGUACCCGGAGAAAAAGCAUCGGCUAACUCCGUGCCAGCAGCCGCGGUAAUACGGAGGAUGCGAGCGUUAUCCGGAUUUAUUGGGUUUAAAGGGUGCGCAGGCGGGCUGUUAAGCCGGCGGUAAAAAUUCAGGGCUCAACCCUGUCGAGCCGUCGGAACUGGCAGUCUUGAGUGGGCGAGAAGUAUGCGGAAUGCGUGGUGUAGCGGUGAAAUGCAUAGAUAUCACGCAGAACGCCGAUUGCGAAGGCAGCAUACCGGCGCCCAACUGACGCUGAGGCACGAAAGCGUGGGGAUCGAACAGGAUUAGAUACCCUGGUAGUCCACGCAGUAAACGAUGA
This 690-nucleotide ribosomal RNA is filed under the name uncultured bacterium. Its description in RNAcentral is "bacterial SSU rRNA". It matches the Rfam family "Bacterial small subunit ribosomal RNA", at positions 126 to 812 of the family's 1533-position model. The record is from RNAcentral.